ACCUCGUAUAGUACAUACCUAAACUUUAAUUUGUUGCACUUUCCUGUUGGAACUUUAAUCUAAAGAUUGCAGUGUAGACUUCUUACCCAUCCAUGACAGGUGUGAGAUUCAAAGACUUGAUGUCUCUGCAGCGGCACGUGAAGGCUUUGCUGGGUUGCAAAAAGGAGGAGCAGGACUGGAUGCUGUCGACUCAGCCAUACGGGCCCUGGAAGAUAACGCAGUGUUUGAUGCAGGUCGUGGAGCAACUCUGCAGAAGCAGAAAGGAUGGACGACAUUAUCAUGGAUGGAAUGACACUAUCUUGUGGCGCUGUGACAUCAGUGAAAAACAUUGCUAAUCCUGGUUCGCUGCCAUGGGCAGUGAUGGAGAAGGUGCCAACAUCCAUAAAUUGAUCUUUAGAAUGAAGGAUGAAUUCUAAUGGCAUCACAUCAGGAAUGUGCAACCUCCAGGAGGAAACCUGAAGAGUUUUUUGCGCCAUCUGCUGGUAGAUGCCAAGUACGUUAUGCCUUCAUUGCGUCAGAAAAAUCAUAAUUCAACCCCAUGUAAAUUUACAAAUAAAAUGACACUUAAUUCACAUAUAUGCUAAUAAAAAUGAAACAAAUCGAUUUGCACGUUAUGUUCUAGCCUAUUUUGAAAAUUACUAAACAUAAUGCAUUUACAGUACAGUACAGUAUUUAUUUUAUUUAAAUUUCCACUCAGCUAUUUUUGCUAUUUGUUGUUCUUUGUUGUCAUGGAGACAGCGGCGCAAACCUGUUCCCUAAGAUAUUGUUGAUAAAUU
Long non-coding RNA from Syngnathus typhle (broad-nosed pipefish), 776 nucleotides. RefSeq lists it as uncharacterized. The record is from RefSeq and is a predicted model, not a curated record. Lineage: Eukaryota; Metazoa; Chordata; Actinopteri; Syngnathiformes; Syngnathidae. The transcript has 3 exons.